Harmonia axyridis is the source of this 474-nucleotide long non-coding RNA. RefSeq lists it as uncharacterized. The transcript is spliced from 3 exons. The record is from RefSeq and is a predicted model, not a curated record. NCBI's taxonomy places the organism in Eukaryota, Metazoa, Arthropoda, Insecta, Coleoptera, Coccinellidae.
GAAAAAUCUCCUAUUUUGUCUGAAAGUUUUAGAGGUAUAAGCAGACACAUCAGGUUUUCUAUGCAUCUUAUUCUCAAGUAUUGUUCUUGUCACUUUUCUGACAUACAAGCGAAUUUGACAAUAGUCUCGAAAUUUUAGUAUCUCUUACAAAAAUGCCAGGCUGCUGUAAUUUUUACCAGUGCUGUGCCAGGCACAUUCCCAAUUUCUGCUGUCCCAACUCACCCUGUGGACCACCUUGUAGCCGGUUCUUGUUUCCGCACUGUCGUCGCUACUACCUCCAGUGGAGACUGAGAUGCCGCUGUUGAAUUUUGGCGCCCUACCCUGCCUCUCCCCUAGCGACGGUCCUGACAGCAGAGCUACUCCACCUCCAAUUUCCUACCCGAAAAAAGAGUGAAAGAAGUCUUUUGUUAUUCAAUAAACAAUGUUGAAUGGUUAUUAUGUUCAAGGUGAAGUAUAAAAAAAUGUUUUCUUGAA